This is a long non-coding RNA of Monodelphis domestica (gray short-tailed opossum), 6531 nucleotides long. RefSeq lists it as uncharacterized. The record is from RefSeq and is a predicted model, not a curated record. Lineage: Eukaryota; Metazoa; Chordata; Mammalia; Didelphimorphia; Didelphidae.
AUCUCAGCUCUGACAUCUAUACCCUGUGUGACUUUGGGCAAAAUGUUAUGCCUCUCUGGGCUAAAGUUUCUUCCUCUCGAAAAUGAAAUAGAGUAAAGUAAUUUGAUGUCUGAGGUUUCUUUUAGCCUUAAGGCAAUGAUUUGAUGAAGCCAUGCCCCUUCAUAUAAAUUAUUUCAUUCAGUAAACAAAACACAACAACAAAAACCUUAUGAGAUGGAUUCAGAACAAUGGACUUGGAGGUGAUAAAUUCUGAGUUCAAAUCUGACCUCAGAUACUUACUAGCUUUGUGAUGCUGACCAAGUCAAGUUCAUCUUUCUCAGUCUCAAUUUCCUUAUUUGUAAAAUCAAGAUUAUAAAGUGCAUACCUGAUGGGGUUGUGAGGGUCAAAUGAAGUAUAACACAGAGGUAUGAAUGUUAUCUAUAUAAUAUGUGGCUAUGUAAAUACUCAUAUAUGUGUGGAAUUUUGCAAACUUUUAUAUAAAUGCUAGUUCUUUUGAUUAUUAUUUUAAAGAGAAAAAUGGCUACUAGUACGUAAACCCAGAUCUCUUGGCUCCAAGUCACAUGGUCUAUAUAAACAUGAACACAGAGAUACAUUUUCUCUUUUAAUGAAAUGAGGGUUCUCUGGCAAACUCUUUAAUUCACAGACGUGCUUGCCUCACAUCUGGAUAGGCUUCUGGAUUCAUUUUAGUGGAAUUUACUGUACUUUAACAAAUCAAUAAACUCUACUGCUUGAGUUUAAAAAAAAAGGUUUAAUAAAAUGGAGAAAAUGUCUCCUUUAAGGUCCAAGAUCUUUUUCUUUUAAUUAGACAAUUCUUAUCUCUUUCACCUUGGUAGCAAUCUUCGGAAAGCAUGAAUUCGAUCAGUCCAUGGGAAAGUUAAUUUUAAGUCCCAUCAGCCAAUCAGAAUGCUCUUCAGGCAAACUGGUAGAUGUAAAAACUGGUCAAUAUAAGUGUCUAGCAUAUAAUCAGAAAGCACCAUAGAGUGGUUGGAAAUAAUUAACCAGGAGUUCAGAAAUAUAGAUUCUUUCUAGACCUAGUUCUGCCACUAACUCGCUGGGACACUGAAUAAGUGACUUUCUGAAUCUUCUUCUUUUUCUGUCAAAUGAGAACAUUGAACUAAAUAAUCCCUAAUGUCCUUUCCAAUUCUCACAUUAGAUGGUUGAAAGUUUUCUCUUCCCAUGUCUGACCCCCAGAGUUCUUAUAACUUUGUUCUAGGGUCAUUUGGCUCUGACCUUGUGUCCUCAAGUUCCAUCCAGCUCUAAAUGUCCAGAUUCUGUGUAAGUAGUUUUUGAGUGCUCACAUUCUUUGGUCUUACAAUACCUUCUAGCUCCAAUAUUCUGUUUUAGGGUUCAUCCAGCUCUGGCAUUCUAUGCUAUUCCUACUAGCAGGAAUACAUCAUUUUCUAGGAUUAUUCUCACAUUUCAUCCUUUCCAAAUGGGGUUUCUGCUAUGGGACUAGAGUAUAAGGGAAAGCAUAAAUAGAACAAAAGUAGACCCAUGUUACAAUGGGUUCUUGUCAGUAUCUCAUCAAAUGAACUUAGUUAAACAACUAAUUUAACCUCUCUCUCUGUCUUCAUGCCACUUCAGUCAAAUACUUUCUUUAUUUAUGGGACUGAACACAUAUCAGGUACUACAUAUUGGGUUAAUGUCCCAUCUUAUUAUGUAGGAUUGCAGGGUCCCAAUACUAAGAACAACUUUUUUUUUUAAACUAUGUCCCUCUCCGAGGUAGCUUUAAUUCCCACGUCAUGUACCACUGAGACACUUGGACCUCUCUGCCUACGGAAUGAGAUCUCACAGAACCCUGGUCCUAAAAAACUAAGUUUGUUUUAUGCCUUUCCUUGUAGAUCCCAGCCAUAUUAAUCUUCCUAAUCUACUGACCCGAGCAUGAGAUUAUACAGCAUGCUCAGAUACCUAUAGUGGCUCCCAGUGGUGCUACCAUUAAGUUCAUCCACAGCUAGAGUCCAAACCACUUUUCUGGGUGUGACUCAUACUAAUCUCUCUCAUGUAACCUACAUUUCAGCCAUCUUGGACUAUUGACUGUCUUCUGAAAUUGUUCCCCUCUUCUCCCACCUCUUUCCUCAAACCACUCUCCUCCAUUAAGAAUUCUCCUUCUGCCAUUUUUUUUCCUUUUCACAGCCACACCCAACCUUUAUAAUCCAUCUCAAAUGCUACCUCCUACAUGAAACUUUCUUUCAUCCUUCUAGGUAGAAGUAAUUUCUUCUUCUAAUCUCUUCAACCACUUUGUUCUUCUUAUAUAUUAUUACAUUAUUUCUGUACUUGUCUUAUCAGGAGAUCUUUGUGGCUCUCCACUGGUGAGCAAGCCUCUUUCAUUUUCUGACAUCAACUUCCCCAUUUGUAAAACUAAGGAAUAUAAUAAAAUGAUCUCAAACUCUUUCCAGCUGGGUUUUUUAAUUCAAAUAUUCCUUUGUCUAUAUUCGAACAUUCCAUGAUCUCAGGUUCUUUCUUGCUCUACCAUCUCUUGUUCUGAGGGCCCCUCCAACCCUAACAUUCUGUGCUUUGAAAUUAUCUGUGGUAUGUCCUAUCUCUGUUCCAACCUUCUUUCCAGGGCUUCCAUGUUAAUAGAACAUUCUGCUCUAAUAGCCUGUCUCAUAAGCUCCUCAUUUAUACAUUCUAUGACUAUAUUUCAAAUUUCUUGGAGAUAAGAUCCUUUUAUUAUUAUGUCCUCCUAAAUGCUAUCCACAGAACCUUGCCUUAUUAAGUAGUUGUUACUUCAUAAAUGAAAGUUUAGGAGUCAAGGUUCCCCUCUCAGAAAUUCCCCUUUCUUCAACAAGUUUCAAAGGCCCCAGUAGACUAUUUCCCCCAUUAGACCCUGGGGCUUUUAUUCUAAACCCUUACCUCUGUCUUAGAAUCAAUACCGUGUUUUGGUUCUAAGGCAGAAGAGCAGUAAGAGGUAGGCAACUAGAGUUAAGUGGCUUGCCCAGACUCACACAGCUAAGAUGAGUCUGAGGCCAGAUUUGAAUCCAGGAACUCCUGUCACUGGGUCUAGUUCUCAAUCCACUGAGGCACCUCACUGUGCCCUAGUCCCUAGGUUUUACAAAUCCUCAUCAAGAAAUCCCUAGAGCUUCAAAGAGGAAAUACCUCAAGUUCUUCUUGUCCCUUUGAUUUCAUUUAUUAUCUGAGAUGUCAAAUGCAAAUCUCAGCCAGGUCAGUCCCAAAUUCCUAGCAGUUUUCAUCCAAUGGAGCAAUAAGCAGAGGAGAAGAAUUACCUCAUUUGUUGAACCUAUGAGGCUUUCCUUCAUGACAGCUCCACACAGCACUCACCUCAGUGCUUCUCUGACUAUCUCACUAUUGUCCUCUGCUCUAAUUUAUGGUCCUCCUAAAGGAAGAUUUAUUCCCCUUUGACUACAGUGCUCUAAAGAGGGCUUUUGUAGGCAAGGCUGGUUCUGCAGUUCCCUUUCCAUUCCAUGAGUGACCAUCAAGAAAGUAGAAGCAACAGCUUUACAGAGCAUGAAGGAAACCUUCUGUGUCCAGAAGUCUGAGCAUGGUAAGGAAUUGGGACAAGGGGGAGGGUCGAAUAACUUCCUCAGGGCCAUUGCCUGGGCACUGGGGUUUUCCAAAAGAACAUAGGCUGCUUCUGUAGUCUCUUCCUUCACAUCCUUGCCAGGACACACCAUUGCUUACUUGCACCAAUAUAAUAGUCUCCUAACUAUUCUCCUUACCUUCUGUGCUCUUCUCUCUAACCCAUCCUUCACUUUGCUGGUCCAAAUAAUCACCCUCAUCCUUAGGACUUCUCAAAACCAUUCAGGUGUGCUUCAUUGUCUGUAGGAAAAUUAUACACUCCUUAGCCUGAUAUUCAUGGUCUUAUUCCAUCUCAUUCCUAUUUCAUUCUUUCCACUUUCUGCCAUUUUAUACUACCAGGUUGUUCCCUGGUCUUACUCUGGCUUUUCCUGUCUCUGUGUAUUUUCUUUCUUAGUUUCUCAUGCUUAGAAUGAAGCCCUUUCCAUGCCACAUCUGUUGAAAUUCUCUUUUUUCUUCAAUGCCCAGCCCAAGUAAUACCUGCUCCAGGAAUCCUACCAUGUUCCUCCCUAACCUGAAGCUCAAAUAUCUUUAUACCUUUUGGGGAAACUCAUGGUGGGGUUCCUGGAAGAGAUGGCACCUGGACUGGACUUUGAAACAAAAAGAGAAUUUCAAUAGAUUUAGCCUUGGGUGUUGGGGGAGGUCUUUUCCAAAGCUUUUCUGAUUCUACUCUCUAGCCUUUCCCCCUCUGAUGAUUCUUUCCUUUAUUUUUAUCACAUUCAAUUACAUUAAAAUCAUUUAUGUAUUUGUCUCACCUUCCCCCCUUGCCCAAGGCAUAGCCUCCUUGAGAACAGAUAUUAGGUCAUUUUUCAUCUUUGUAUAUUCUCUAGCAUCUCACACAGGGCCUUGCAUAAAGGAAAUGCUUAAUAAAUGUUUGUUGAAUAAAAUGUGUAGUGGACCCCAUGGGCAGAUGCCUAGCUCUUUCCCUUAGAGAAAUGAAUUGUUCUUUAAAUGUCAGCCUUCUCAAAUUCAAAGAUCCAAAUGCUUCUCAAAUUCUUUCUGGCACAGAAUCUGUGACUCUUCUUAUGUAUGCCACUCAUUAAUAAAGCUAGACCUCAAUCCUGGCCCUCUUUUUCUCUCUUUCCCCAUUCUCUGUCUCUACUUCUCUCCCUUCUCUCAUCUCUAUGUCUGUCUCUCUCUUAUUCUCCUCCCUGCAAAACAGCUUACUACCUAGGUGAUGGCAAGGUACUUGUUUCCAGAACUCCAUUUCCCUGCAUUUAAAAUAGAGAACUAAGAGGACUUUCUAUAGUUCUUCGCAGCUCAGAAACCUUUGAUCUUGUGAACUCCAACUAGACACAAUGUCUGUGUAAGAGCUCCCACUUCUAUAGUGCUUUGGAGAUUAUAAAGCCCUUUCUUUACAAAAAGGAACAGGGAGGAUAACCAAGAAGGGACACAUUGCAUUAUGUCAUGGGAAGAAUGUCAGACUCAAGGUGCCAGCUCUGGUACUGACUACAUGGCCUUAGGCAAGCCAUUUAACAUAGCUCUUGUAAGGAAAAUACUUUGGAAACUUUAAACUGAUAUAAAAAUGUGAGUAAUUAUUUUUUCUCCAUCCCGCUCCUCUGGACAUGGGGCAAAUGGGGCUGCGUUACAUUCGCCCCUUCCAUCUUUCCAUAUUUCACCCAGGUUCUCAUUUAAUAACAAUUCAAAUCCCAGGAAUAAUUGAGUUUGUGCUGGGCUGGACUUGGUCAAGUACCCAGAAGCAAGAUAUGAUAUUGAUUCUCCAAAUGUGACAAAAAAGAGAAAAAAAAGACAAUUGAAAACUUGAAAGGUUUGAUUCGUCAAUUAGUAAGCAUUUACUGUGUGCAGAGAAGUAAGCUCAGUGUCGGGACAUAUUCAGAUUUAGGAAAGACAAGGCAUUGUCCUCAGGUAGCUUUCAUUAGUGGAAUAAGACUUAUGGACAGGUAAUUCUAAUAAAAAUAAUAUAAGCUAGCUGUACCAAAAAAUCAGGAUGUUAAUGUUGGAAAAGACCUUAGAAGCUUGAAUAUCAAAACUAGAAGAUGCCUUUAGAACACAGCAUAUUAGAACUCAGAAUGUCAGAACCCAGAACAUUGAACAUCAGAACUUGAGGAACCUUAGAAAUCAUCUAAUCCAAACCCUUGGUUUUAUGAUUAAGAAAACUGAAGUCUAGAAAGGUUGACCCAGAGGAUGUCGGACACAGGACUCCUUGACAGAAGCUGAGUAAUCUAUCUCUUCCUAUUAAAGAGGAGAGAAGAUAAAAUCAUUACCAGUGGGGGCAUAUGGAAGAGUUCUUAGAGAAGAAUAAUGAAUGGAUACCAGGAGUGGACAAGUAUCCCAGGCUUCCCAAAGAGAUACAGAUAAUGCUUGUUGAAAGUAUAGCAGAAAUCUACAUGGCUAAAAUAUAAAUGGAAGGAACAAUAUAAAUGGAAAUGUGAUUAUAAUGACCCAGAAGCCUGGCCCUAGAGUAGGGUGAAAGAAAUUCAUCUCCGUACCUUUUUUACAGAGUCAGGGAACCAUCUCAGUUUCCUUCAUCUGCAAAAGGACUGGGACAGAUUAGACCUGGGAUUGCUAAACUUUUCUAUGUGGUAGACCCCUCUGACAAUCUAGCCUAGUAUCAUUGGUGCCUAAACAAAGUCUGGAAGAUCACCUGCCAGGGAUGCCACAGAGAGGAUUCUUACAUGGGUCCAGAAGGUGGAGUAGAUGCCCUUGGAGCUCCCUUCAAAGUUGGAUGCAUUAGGAUGAUAAUCAGAGGAUAAAAAAGGAAGAAAAGGAGAAAGAAAGAAAUAUGAAAACUUAACUUCAGGAUGAUCUCUACCACCCCUGUCAUUAGGAUGUUAAAAGACUGUGCUCAUUAGCAGAAUAAUUUUACUAAGUACAUUUCAGUAGAAGAUGCUUGAAAGGGUAUCUCAGCAUGUCAUUUCUUGGAAAUGACUUCAACUGUGAUUUCCUAAGUCCAUCACUGCCUAUGCACCUUGAUAUUAAGAGGUAGAGGUAAAAGGUCCUCUUUCAAAAUGGAAUAAAUAUCAUCUUAUGGCCAAA